Molecule: ribosomal RNA, 533 nt
Filed under: uncultured bacterium
Lineage: Bacteria
Description: bacterial SSU rRNA
Rfam family: Bacterial small subunit ribosomal RNA
Source: RNAcentral
ACUGUACAGUAGAGUUUGAUCCUGGCUCAGGAUGAACGCUAGCGGCAGGCCUAAUACAUGCAAGUCGAACGGUAACAUGGUCAGCAAUGACUGAUGACGAGUGGCGCACGGGUGCGUAACGCGUAUGCAAUCUACCUCUUACUGGGGAAUAGCCCGGAGAAAUCCGGAUUAACACCGCAUAAUAUAUUGUUGAGGCAUCUCAGUGAUAUUAAAUAUUUAUAGGUAAGAGAUGAGCAUGCGUCCAAUUAGUUAGUUGGUGAGGUAACGGCUCACCAAGACAAUGAUUGGUAGGGGUUCUGAGAGGAAGGUCCCCACACUGUCACGUGAUGAUGACGGACCAGACUCCUACGGGAGGCAGCAGUAGGGAAUAUUGGGCAAUGGACGAGAGUCUGACCCAGCCAUGCCGCGUGCAGGAAGAAGGCCUUCUGGGUUGUAAACUGCUUUUGAUUGGGAACAAAAGAGCCCUUGCGAGGGAAGUUGAGUGUACCAAUAGAAUGAGCACCGGCUAACUCCGUGCCAGCCGCCGCGGUAAU